GCUGUGCAUGAUGACAACUGGCUCCCUCUACUGAGCUGAGAUGAGGAAACUGCCUUGUCACCACCUGAUACAGC
Molecule: small nucleolar RNA, 74 nt
Filed under: Tupaia belangeri chinensis (Chinese tree shrew)
Lineage: Eukaryota; Metazoa; Chordata; Mammalia; Scandentia; Tupaiidae
Description: Tupaia chinensis (Chinese tree shrew) Small nucleolar RNA SNORD100
Rfam family: Small nucleolar RNA SNORD100
About the family: The members of this family belong to the C/D class of snoRNAs which contain the C (UGAUGA) and D (CUGA) box motifs.
Source: Rfam by way of RNAcentral